Molecule: long non-coding RNA, 378 nt
Organism: Oncorhynchus tshawytscha (Chinook salmon)
Lineage: Eukaryota; Metazoa; Chordata; Actinopteri; Salmoniformes; Salmonidae
Source: Ensembl
UAGGGGAUGCAGUAAGGCUGAGGGUUGUUAGGGGAUGCAGUAAGGCUGAGGGUUGUUAGGGGAUGCAGUAAGGCUGAGGGUUUUGAGGGAUGCAGGAAGGCUGAGGGUUGUUAGGGGAUGCAGUAAGGCUGAGGGGUUUUGAGGGAUGCAGGAAGGCUGAGGGUUGUUAGGGGAUACAGUAAGACUGAGGGAUUUUAGGGGAUGCAGUAAGGCUGAGGGAUGUUAUGGGAUGCAGGAAGGCUGAGGGUUGUCAGGAGAUGCAGGAAGGCUGAGGGUUGUGGGGAAUGCAGGAAGGCUGAGGGUUGUUAGGGGAUGCAGAAAGGCUGAGGGAUGUUAGGGGAUGCAGAAAGGCUGAGGGAUGUUAGGGGAUGCAGGAAG